UACAGAGGUCUCGAGCGUUAGGCGGAAUCACUGGGCUUAAAGCGUGUGUAGGCGGAUCGUUAAGUACCUUGUGAAAUCCCACGGCUUAACCGUGGAACUGCUUGGUAUACUGGCGGUCUUGAGCCAGCUAGGGGCUACCGGAACAAAUGGUGGAGCGGUGAAAUGCGUAGAUAUCAUUUGGAACGCCAAUGGUGAAAACAGGUAGCUGGGGCUGUGCUGACGCUGAGACACGAAAGCCAGGGGAGCGAAUGGG
RNAcentral lists this ribosomal RNA (253 nucleotides) under uncultured bacterium. RNAcentral's name for it is "partial 16S ribosomal RNA". It matches the Rfam family "Bacterial small subunit ribosomal RNA", at positions 524 to 776 of the family's 1533-position model. The record is from RNAcentral.